RNAcentral lists this ribosomal RNA (269 nucleotides) under uncultured bacterium. RNAcentral describes it as "partial 16S ribosomal RNA". It matches the Rfam family "Bacterial small subunit ribosomal RNA", at positions 88 to 354 of the family's 1533-position model. The record is from RNAcentral.
CCGGCGACCGGCGCACGGUGAGUAACACGUAUGCGACCUGCCCCCCGCAGGGGGAUAACCGGGAGAAAUCCCGACUAAUACCGCGUAACGCCGCGGACCUGCAUGGGUCUGCGGCCAAAGGAAGCGAUUCCGGCGGGGGAUGGGCAUGCGGCGCAUUAGCUAGUCGGCGGGGUAACGGCCCACCGAGGCGACGAUGCGUAGGGGUUCUGAGAGGAAGGUCCCCCACACUGGUACUGAGACACGGACCAGACUCCUACGGGAGGCAGCAG